UGCUAGACUGAUGGCGACCGGCGCACGGGUGCGUAACGCGUAUGCAACUUGCCUCACAGAGGGGGAUAACCCGUCGAAAGACGGACUAAUACCGCGUACACUUGGGAUAGGGCAUCCUAAUCCAAGGAAAUGAAAUUCGCUGUGAGAUAGGCAUGCGUCCCAUUAGCUAGUUGGUGAGGUAACGGCUCACCAAGGCGACGAUGGGUAGGGGAACUGAGAGGUUGAACCCCCACACUGGUACUGAGACACGGACCAGACUCCUACGGGAGGCAGCAGUGAGGAAUAUUGGUCAAUGGGCGAGAGCCUGAACCAGCCAAGUCGCGUGAAGGAUGACUGUCUUAUGGAUUGUAAACUUCUUUUGUAGGGGAAUAAAGAAUGGUACGUGUACCAUAGUGAAUGUACCCUACGAAUAAGCAUCGGCUAACUCCGUGCCAGCAGCCGCGGUAAUACGGAGGAUGCGAGCGUUAUCCGGAUUUAUUGGGUUUAAAGGGUGCGUAGGCGGCCUGUUAAGUCAGCGGUGAAAUCUAGGGGCUUAACUCCUAAAUUGCCAUUGAUACUGGUGGGCUUGAGUGUAGAUGAAGUAGGCGGAAUGCGUGGUGUAGCGGUGGAAUGCAUAGAUAUCACGCAGAACUCCCAUUGCGAAGGCAGCUUACUAAGGUACAACUGACGCUGAAGCACGAAAGCGUGGGUAUCAAACANGAUUAGAUACCCUGGUAGUCCACGCAGUAAACCAUGAUAACUGGGCGUAUGCGAUAUACAGUAUGCUCCUAAGCGAAAGCGUUAAAGUUAU
This 790-nucleotide ribosomal RNA is filed under the name uncultured bacterium. Its description in RNAcentral is "bacterial SSU rRNA". It matches the Rfam family "Bacterial small subunit ribosomal RNA", at positions 78 to 868 of the family's 1533-position model. The record is from RNAcentral.